GACGAACGCUGGCGGCGUGCCUAACACAUGCAAGUCGAGCGAGUGAAUCUCCUUCGGGAGUGAAACUAGCGGCGGACGGGUGAGUAACACGUGGGCAACCUGCCUCAUAGAGGGGAAUAGCCUUUCGAAAGGAAGAUUAAUACCGCAUAAGAUUGUAGCUUCGCAUGAAGUAGCAAUUAAAGGAGUAAUCCGCUAUGAGGUGGGCCCGCGGCGCAUUAGCUAGUUGGUGAGGUAACGGCUCACCAAGGCGACGAUGCGUAGCCGACCUGAGAGGGUGAUCGGCCACAUUGGGACUGAGACACGGCCCAGACUCCUACGGGAGGCAGCAGUGGGGAAUAUUGCACAAUGGGGGAAACCCUGAUGCAGCAACGCCGCGUGAGUGAUGACGGCCUUCGGGUUGUAAAACUCUGUCUUCAGGGACGAUAAUGACGGUACCUGAGGAGGAAGCCACGGCUAACUACGUGCCAGCAGCCGCCGUAA
RNAcentral lists this ribosomal RNA (480 nucleotides) under uncultured bacterium. RNAcentral's name for it is "partial 16S ribosomal RNA". It matches the Rfam family "Bacterial small subunit ribosomal RNA", at positions 28 to 523 of the family's 1533-position model. The record is from RNAcentral.